Molecule: ribosomal RNA, 548 nt
Filed under: uncultured bacterium
Lineage: Bacteria
Description: bacterial SSU rRNA
Rfam family: Bacterial small subunit ribosomal RNA
Source: RNAcentral
UGGGGAAUUUUGGACAAUGGGCGCAAGCCUGAUCCAGCCAUGCCGCGUGAGUGAAGAAGGCCUUCGGGUUGUAAAGCUCUUUCAGCCGGAAAGAAAUCGUGCAACCUAAUACGUUGUAUGGAUGACGGUACCGGAAGAAGAAGCACCGGCUAACUACGUGCCAGCAGCCGCGGUAAUACGUAGGGUGCGAGCGUUAAUCGGAAUUACUGGGCGUAAAGCGUGCGCAGGCGGUUUUGUAAGACAGGCGUGAAAUCCCCGGGCUUAACCUGGGAACUGCGUUUGUGACUGCAAGGCUAGAGUAUGGCAGAGGGGGGUAGAAUUCCACGUGUAGCAGUGAAAUGCGUAGAGAUGUGGAGGAAUACCGAUGGCGAAGGCAGCCCCCUGGGAUAACACUGACGCUCAUGCACGAAAGCGUGGGGAGCAAACAGGAUUAGAUACCCUGGUAGUCCACGCCCUAAACGAUGUCUACUAGUUGUCGGGUCUUAAUUGACUUGGUAACGCAGCUAACGCGUGAAGUAGACCGCCUGGGGAGUACGGUCGCAAGAUUA